RNAcentral lists this small RNA (1836 nucleotides) under Pan troglodytes (chimpanzee). RNAcentral's name for it is "retained intron". Lineage: Eukaryota; Metazoa; Chordata; Mammalia; Primates; Hominidae. The record is from RNAcentral.
GUGCCUUUAAAUUACUGCUUUCGGAGGGUGCAUCUAGGGGGAGGUGGGAGGCAGGAAAACAUCUUCCUACCGGUCUCCCUCCUCCCUCCCCUCCAAGACUCUUCAGGGUUUGGAGAGUGAUUGCUGCCCAGAGAGAAUCUUUUCCAGCUCCCAGCUGGCAGGCUAAGGCCCUCCGGAGCCCAAGGCGAGCCCAAGCAGAAGCCAGUAGGGUUAUCUGUGUCAGGAUCAUUUCCAGGGGAAUAGUUCUGGCCCCUGGCAGGUAAAGACAGGCCAGAGGAGAAGAGGCAGAAGAGGAGAGAAAGCAGGCUCUUUGCGAGCAGCCCAGGUUGGAGAAAGGCUCUGUACUUUUGGCGUUCCUGCGGGGAUAUCCCCUCUCACGUUGGCAGCCAGGCUGAGAAAGGGCUUCAAGAUCCCCGCAGAAUGACAACUCUUGUUCCUGCAACCCUCUCCUUCCUUCUUCUCUGGACCCUGCCAGGGCAGGUCCUCCUCAGGGUGGCCUUGGCAAAAGAGGAAGUCAAAUCUGGAACCAAGGGGUCCCAGCCCAUGUCCCCCUCUGAUUUCCUAGACAAACUUAUGGGGCGAACAUCUGGAUAUGAUGCCAGGAUUCGGCCCAAUUUUAAAGGCCCACCCGUGAACGUGACCUGCAACAUCUUCAUCAACAGUUUCAGCUCCGUCACCGAGACCACAAUGGACUACCGGGUGAAUGUCUUCUUGCGGCAACAGUGGAAUGACCCUCGCCUGUCCUACCGAGAAUAUCCUGAUGACUCUCUGGACCUCGAUCCCUCCAUGCUGGACUCUAUCUGGAAGCCAGACCUGUUCUUUGCUAAUGAGAAAGGGGCCAACUUCCAUGAGGUGACCACGGACAACAAGUUACUGCGCAUCUUCAAGAAUGGGAAUGUGCUGUACAGCAUCAGGCUGACCCUCAUUUUGUCCUGCCCGAUGGACCUCAAGAACUUCCCCAUGGACAUCCAGACCUGCACGAUGCAGCUGGAGAGCUUUGGCUACACCAUGAAUGACCUCGUGUUUGAGUGGCUGGAAGAUGCUCCUGCUGUCCAAGUGGCUGAGGGGCUGACUCUGCCCCAGUUUAUCUUGCGGGAUGAGAAGGAUCUAGGCUGUUGUACCAAGCACUACAACACAGGGAAAUUCACCUGCAUCGAGGUAAAGUUUCACCUGGAACGGCAGAUGGGCUACUAUCUGAUUCAGAUGUACAUCCCCAGCCUACUCAUUGUCAUCCUGUCCUGGGUCUCCUUCUGGAUCAACAUGGAUGCUGCCCCUGCCCGUGUGGGCCUGGGCAUCACCACCGUGCUCACCAUGACCACCCAGAGCUCUGGCUCCCGGGCCUCUUUGCCUAAGGUGAAGAGACAUGCAAGGGAACUUGCUUGCCAUAGAGUACCCCAUUUCCCAUUCAUCCCAAUGUGCCCUCCUGCUCACCAUUUACCUUGGAUUUAAGGUUGAGAAGACCCACUGGGCAAAAGCUGGUGUCCUGCAUUCUCUCUCCCUGUAAUAUACUGCUAAUAACAUUGUUGACAAUGUGGAGGCUGGGGUUAGGGAUACUAUCUGGCUAGGGAAUGAGGAGAGACAGUGCCUUACUUUGACUCUCUUCAGGAAAUACUAGCAUGUCCAAGGUCAAAAGAUCCUCAGCAAGUAGAAAGUCCUACUGCCUCAUAAUACAAAUGAGGAGAAUACAGCCCAGAGUGGUAAACUAACCUUCUUAAGAUCAUGCCUUAUAAGAAACAACCAAAAGAAUGUCAGAGUUUUGAACCAAUUUCUCUCAUCUUACUGUAUCAGAAAUUAGAAACUAUCACAAAGCGCUCUAGAGAUAUUAUCCAUUCUUUU